CCUACGGGAGGCAGCAGUGAGGAAUAUUGGUCAAUGGGCGCGAGCCUGAACCAGCCAAGUAGCGUGAAGGAUGACUGCCCUACGGGUUGUAACCUUCUUUUAUAAAGGAAUAAAGUGAGGCACGUGUGCCUUUUUGUAUGUACUUUAUGAAUAAGGCUCGGCUAACUCCGUGCCAGCAGCCGCGGUAAUACGGAGGAUCCGAGCGUUAUCCGGAUUUAUUGGGUUUAAAGGGAGCGUAGAUGGGUUGUUAAGUCAGUUGUGAAAGUUUGCGGCUCAACCGUAAAAUUGCAAUUGAUACUGGCAGUCUUGAGUACAGUUGAUGUAGGCGGAAUUCGUGGUGUAGCGGUGAAAUGCGUAGAUAUCACGAAGAACUCCGAUGGCGAAGGCAGCUUACUAAACUGCCACUGACAUUGAUGCUCGAAAGUGUGGGGAGCAAACAGGAUUAGAUAACCGGGUAGUC
This 460-nucleotide ribosomal RNA is filed under the name uncultured bacterium. Its description in RNAcentral is "partial 16S ribosomal RNA". It matches the Rfam family "Bacterial small subunit ribosomal RNA", at positions 338 to 795 of the family's 1533-position model. The record is from RNAcentral.